Molecule: non-coding RNA, 72 nt
Organism: Phrynosoma platyrhinos (Desert horned lizard)
Lineage: Eukaryota; Metazoa; Chordata; Lepidosauria; Squamata; Phrynosomatidae
Source: the annotation of a GenBank genome assembly
UUUUGGGUGGUGUAGUGGUUUAAGCAUCUGAUUAUGACUUUGGAGACCAGAGUUCGAAUCCCUGCUCAACCA